This 279-nucleotide ribosomal RNA is filed under the name uncultured bacterium. RNAcentral's name for it is "partial 16S ribosomal RNA". It matches the Rfam family "Bacterial small subunit ribosomal RNA", at positions 506 to 784 of the family's 1533-position model. The record is from RNAcentral.
UGCCAGCAGCCGCGGUAAUACGGAGGGUGCAAGCGUUAAUCGGAUUUAUUGGGCGUAAAGAGCGCGUAGGCGGGGAUUUAAGUCAGAUGUGAAAGCCCGGAGCUUAACUUCGGAAUUGCAUUUGAAACUGGAUCUCUAGAGGAUAGGCGGAGAAAACGGAAUUCCACGUGUAGCGGUGAAAUGCGUAGAUAUGUGGAAGAACACCCGUGGCGAAAGCGGUUUUCUAGCUUAUUCCUGACGCUGAGGCGCGAAAGCGAGGGGAGCAAACAGGAUUAGAUA